This 485-nucleotide ribosomal RNA is filed under the name uncultured bacterium. RNAcentral's name for it is "partial 16S ribosomal RNA". It matches the Rfam family "Bacterial small subunit ribosomal RNA", at positions 28 to 507 of the family's 1533-position model. The record is from RNAcentral.
GAUGAACGCUAGCGAUAGGCUUAACACAUGCAAGUCGAGGGGCAGCGAGGGUAGCAAUACCUGUCGGCGACCGGCGCACGGGUGAGUAACGCGUAUGUAACCUGCCCGCAACAGGGGGAUAACCCGGCGAAAGUCGGACUAAUACCGCAUAAAACAGGGGUCCCGCAUGGGAAUAUUUGUUAAAGAUUUAUCGGUUGCGGAUGGGCAUGCGUACCAUUAGGUAGUUGGUGAGGUAACGGCUCACCAAGCCUGCGAUGGUUAGGGGUUCUGAGAGGAAGGUCCCUCACACUGGUACUGGGACACGGACCAGACUGCUACGGGAGGCAGCAGUGAGGAAUAUUGGUCAAUGGGAGAGAGCCUGAACCAGCGAAGUCGCGUGAAGGAUGACUGCCCUAUGGGUUGUAAACUUCUUUUACAAGGGAAUAAAAUGAGAUACGUGUAUUUUAGUGAAUGUACCUUGGGAAUAAGCACCGGCUAACUCCGUG